GGGCGGACAAAAGAGAGACAAUUAAACCAACACGGAAACAAGAUAUUUCGAUUGUCAUAAAUGCUACAAGGGAAGAAAACCGAGAGUGCUGAGAGACUGAGCACUUCCGGACAGCCUCUCCAGGAGUCCAGCUGGAGCCAAGACCCAGAGAAUGAAGAGCAAGAGAGAGUGUUUCAGACAGAGGUCCGAGGGUCAGAGGCUUGAGGUGGAGAAGACACAGCCUUGAGGAUCCCACAGAAGCCAAUGUGGAGACCAGGGCCAGAUCGUUAGGGGAUCGAAGGCCACAGUAUCAACCAUACAGAUGAAGAGCUGAGGCUCAGGGAAGGAAUUUGCCAAGGUCACGAAGCUGUAAGACACAGAACCUGGGGUGUCUGCCUGUAGAGCUCACACUGACUCUACAGCCACUGAUCCAAAGCUUCAAUGAGCAAGAGAUGAAGUGACCCCUCCAACCCCACAGCUCAGCGUCUUUCUUGAAGCUCCAACUCCAGGGCCAUUGUUUUCCUGUUCUCCCCGCUCCAAGGCCUCUCCUCUCUCCUUGGCCCAACUCUCUGACAGUGAUGCAGUUCUGAAGGCCAGACGUCCAAAAUCAGAAUGGCAUUUGCUUGAAGGAUCCAGGGGAGAAUCCCUCCUUGCUUCUUCCAGCUUCUGGUGGCUCAUGGCAAUACCUUGACUUGUAGACAUAUCCCUCCAAUCUCUACUUAUGCCUUCAUAUCACCUUCUCUUCUCUUAUGAGAACAGUUGUCAUUGGAUUUAGGACCCACCCUAAUCGAAGAUGAUCUCACAUGUAGUUUAAUUACAUCUAUAAAAUAUGCUUUUCAGUAAGGUCACUUCCGUGGUUUGAAUGCCCCCUCCAAAACUUAAUGUUGAAACUUAAUCCCCAACGUGGCAGUACUGAGAGGUGGGGCCUUUUAGAGCUGGUUGGAUUGUGAAGGUUCUGUCCUCAUGAAUGGAUUAGUUCCAUUCAUGAAUUAAUAAAUUAAUAGGCUCAUGGAUUAGUGGGUUACCAUGGGAGGGGAACUGGUGGCUUUAUAAGAGGAGGAAGAGAGACCUGGGCUAGUACAUUAAGAUUCUCAGCCCCCUUACCAUGUGGCGACCUGUGCCACCUGGGGACACUGCAGAGUCCCCACCAGCAAGAAGGCUCUCACCAGACUUAGCCCCUCAACAUUGGACUUAGCCUCCAUAACUGUAAGAAAUAAACUCCUUUUCUUCAUAAAUUACCGAGUUUCAGCUAUUCUGUUAUAAAUGACAGAAAACGACUAAGACAGUCACAUUCACAGGUUCUGGGCAGGACGUGUCUUUUGGGGGCCAUUCACCCCCAGGCUUCGUGGUGAAUGACUGACUAGAAGCAGUGCCCUCCAAGUUGGUCCUUCUGAACCCAUCAAUGACAGUGGACAGAAAAGUUGGCCACUGAUUGAACUUCAGAUCUGUCUCGAACAGGGAGCCACUGAUACCUGUGUAGGAACCAGCUCCAUCACCCGGCAUCCCAGCCAGACCCACCACUGCAAAUGUUCCUACAUUUUGCUAUUGCAUAGAAUUUCCCUUUGGGGAUUAUAAAUAUACCUUCUUGCUUAGGUUUUUACUAGAAAAAAGAGAGAGAAGCAAAACAGCAAAGCAAAGCUCAAACCCCACCAGGCUGUGUCACAAAUCUGUGUAUAAUGUUCUCCUGUUGCUCAAGGAAACACCCCCACAAAGGAGUUUUGUUGAAUGCUUUGAACUGUCCCUCAGUGUAGAGGACAUAUUAUGGGGUUGGAACAUCCAACAAUUUCUUUUUGGAAAAUAAACUGGGUCCUGGUCCGGAACAUACCCU
This 1807-nucleotide long non-coding RNA is filed under the name Homo sapiens (human). RNAcentral's name for it is "HSALNT0138662". Lineage: Eukaryota; Metazoa; Chordata; Mammalia; Primates; Hominidae. The record is from RNAcentral.